UGGGGAAUAUUGGGCAAUGGGCGCAAGCCUGACCCAGCAACGCCGCGUGAAGGAAGAAGGCUUUCGGGUUGUAAACUUCUUUUAUGAGGGACGAAAGAAAUGACGGUACCUCAUGAAUAAGCCACGGCUAACUACGUGCCAGCAGCCGCGGUAAUACGUAGGUGGCAAGCGUUAUCCGGAUUUACUGGGUGUAAAGGGCGUGUAGGCGGGACUGCAAGUCAGAUGUGAAAAUUAUGGGCUCAACCCAUAACCUGCAUUUGAAACUGUAGUUCUUGAGUGAUGGAGAGGCAGGCGGAAUUCCGUGUGUAGCGGUGAAAUGCGUAGAUAUACGGAGGAACACCAGUGGCGAAGGCGGCCUGCUGGACAUUAACUGACGCUGAGGCGCGAAAGCGUGGGGAGCAAACAGG
Molecule: ribosomal RNA, 407 nt
Filed under: uncultured bacterium
Lineage: Bacteria
Description: bacterial SSU rRNA
Rfam family: Bacterial small subunit ribosomal RNA
Source: RNAcentral